Long non-coding RNA from Limulus polyphemus (Atlantic horseshoe crab), 4682 nucleotides. RefSeq lists it as uncharacterized. The transcript has 2 exons. The record is from RefSeq and is a predicted model, not a curated record. Lineage: Eukaryota; Metazoa; Arthropoda; Merostomata; Xiphosura; Limulidae.
AGGAACAUCCUAUUUGCACGAUUUCUGUAUAUGCACUGUCAACAGUGUUGCCAGCCCGUUCAUUCUUCAUGAACUGGUCUUGGAAGCAGCUCAUUAUCUUUCUGUUUCUGGUUCAGCCCCUGUAGCCCAGGGCUUUAGAUCUCACCUGCUCACCCCCCUCAUUCAGAAGUGUCAGCAGAUGUUUAUAGCCUGUACUCACUUCAAGAUGUACCAUAUCACUCCUGCCGAGUACGAAGAGUUUGUCAGCAUCAUUUGUAAUGCGAGGUCAGCCUUCCAACUCACCCCAGGAGGGAUGGCCCAGUUUACAGAACUGUUACAGAGUCUACGACGCUCGAAAUCCUGCAAAAAAGAACUCUGGCAGAAAAUUUCAAGUGUUCUUUCUACCAUAACUAUUUGAUGAUGGAGUACAAUAGCACCAAGACUGUAUGGUUUAGGUUUUUUUUUCUUGUUUUUUUUUUAGAUAACAUGCAUUCAUUUCUCCACACCAUGAAGUGUAUUGCUUUCAGGGUCCAGUAUCUGGCUCUCCAGUUGUUUUGAAAGUCAUAGAAUUGUUAUAUCAUCAUCUAGCACCAGAGUGGGACACGGUGGCUGUCCAUCUCUAUGUAUCAGCUCAGGCACUUUACGAUCAUCAACAAAUGCUCAAAUUUAUUAGAAAGAAAAAAAAAAGAUUUUAACUGUUUAUAAUAAGUUGUUCUAGUUUCUAACUUUACACCCUCAGUGUUAUUGUGGAGUAUACGUUUUACCUGUGGUUGGAACUUUCUCGUUAUCCGUAGCGGUUCUGAGUUACAAGUUCCUCCAAAUUUAUACCCUAAGUCCAGAAAUCAUUGUGUUGUUGUGUAACCAAGCGGUUACUUUAGAAAACCCCAUCCAGAAGAAUUCUGGUACAGAACAGUGUAUCUUUAAAAUAUGUUGGUUGUACUUAUGUUUGUUCUCAGGGUGAUUUUAUUCAGAGGUAAUAUUUGAUUACUUUUAACAAGUAGUUUGGCUUAGUUCUUGUUGUCAUUGCUUUCUUGUUUACUAAUAUAUAUAUAUAUACAUCUAAAUAUCAGGGUGAUUGUUCAAAUUGUUUAAUUAAAUGUUUGAUUUACGGUAUUAGUUUAGUUGUUCUUUAUAUCAGUAUGCUAGUGUCAGAGAUAAAGGAGGUUAAGAUGUAAAAUUUAGAUAAAUGAGAACCUGUGUGUAUCGUAAAACAGGGGACUACUAAUGUUGCUUUAAUGUGAUGCAUAACAAAAUAAUACUGUUUAACUUUGACCAUAAGAUUUAUUGCUUUUCUUGUACAAUUCUCUGUUUUCGUGAAAUAUAUUGGAAUAAAAAAAAGAGAUCUGGGUGAACAUGUACAAUAUAGUUUCUUUAGUAGAAGUAUGACAAUAGUCCCGUUACCCAAACAUUUCUGUAAGUAACAUACUUCAAUGUGUAUCUGUUAGUAACUAUUUUGCAACAGCUACAUUUUAAACCACUGUGAUUGAUGUUUGAUGAAAAAUAAUUCUGUUUGUACAUCCUCUUCAUAUGAUGUUUUACCACAGUAAUAUGCACUUUGAUUUGUCUCUCUUACCCCGCAUGUAGGUGAAGAUAACUGUGUUUAGUCUUGUACGUUAAAAAGACGACAAUAUCAGUGUUUCUCAGUCUGUGGUCAGAGAAGUACAUCACCCCUUAUGUCGCCUUACCUAUCUCAGCCAGCCAAAGCAUGUAAGAUACAAUAUAUUUUUAACCAGUCAUUUAUCAUAAUUUGUCUUUUAACAGGUUUUUUAUCCUUGUAGUCGGGGUUUUUGUCUGUCUGGAGCACGUAGAGAAACCAUACUUUUCUAUCAUAAGAGAAAAAAAAGUUUUUGUAAUUAUUAUCUUGGUGUCAAUCUACUUAAAAUAAUCCGUGUUGAAUUUUUCAGAUAAUUUUAAGAUAUUUUGGAUGGAAUACCAUCAUACAGAAUUAACUUUUAUCGUGUGUAUUUCAAAGAAUGUUUUUAAUUUUAUCGCUCACACUUAAUUAAGCAAACUCAACAAACAUUUAUAGGUAACAAAACAGUUCGUUUAAACCCACCUGUGAAAAGUACCUCUUGUCAUCUGAAGAAUAUAUUUUUAUUAACUGCUGAGAUCUAAGAAACAUAUAUAAAAAAACAUUUUUCUCGUUCAUUGUUGAAACCCAACGAACUUAUAAAGAAACUCCUCUAUCAUGCAUUGUUGAUAUCAAACAAAUUUAUACAAAAAUACCAUUUUCAUUCAUUGUUGAAACCCCACAAACAUAUUAAAAAAAAACAACUUUUUUUUUCAUUCAUUGUUGUUGUCUAGAACGUUUAUACAAAAACUUUCAUUUUUGUUCAUUGUUAAAACCCAGCAAACUUAUAAUAAAACAUCUUCAAUCAUUGUUGGAACCCAACAAACUUGUAUAGAAAACCUUCCCGUUCAUUGUUGGAACCCCAAAAACUUAUAUAGAAAACCAUUGUUGAAACCCAACAAACUUAUAAAAAAAAAAAACCUCUUCAAUCAUUGUUGAAACCUAACAAACUUGUACAAAAGGCUCCUUUCUCAUGUGUUGUGGAAACCAAACAAAUUUAUGUAAAAAAAAAAACAUUCUUAUUUAUGGUAACCUUCCUCCAAAAAAAUAGUAUAAACCGUAUGGUAAAUAUUUAGCUACUUUGUUGUUGUUGUUACUGUCAAGUGGUGUGAGAGUAAGCCAGAACUGGGUCUCGUGUAUUUUCCCAAGUGCAGAAUAUCGUAUGACUGUUAAUACUGAACACAUUAAAAAAUUUAUAUUCUUGUUUUUUGUAGAGAACAAGUACAUAUCCAUAUUGUUAAUUAUCGAUACUUGAGUUUUUCUAUUAAGUUAUGUGCAUAAUGAAGGUUUGUAAAUGACAAGUUCAUAUAAUGGAAGUUAUAAUGUUUAGUUCAUUCCACAAGUGGUGAUAAAACAUAAUUGAGUUGACAGCCUGUUCCUCACCUGUGUCAGUUUAAGAAUAUAAAAUUCUUAUCAUGUUGUGACUUAAUGAUUUUUUCUGAUUAUGUGUGGAUUAAUAUUGUUUCUUCUGAAGUUCAACAUUUAACAAGGGCUUAUAUAUCCUAAAUAACAAUUUAUACCUAUUUUUAUUGGCUUAUUUGUUUCAUGGUUGCCUUCAACAAUUGUACAGGUGUUUCCAAAAAUGCAACUACUGUGUUUUGAAAAUGCUCAUUUAUAGUUUCACUAAAAUGUAACUGUUUUUGAUUUUUUUUAUAGUUAACAGAAUAUUUUGGAUUGAGAAAAUAUAAGUACUUCUUUUUCAGUUUAUCAAAUUUUGUUAUCAGUUUUAAAGUUAUUUAUAUUCGUAAAUCUGGUGUGUUUCAAGUAAAGACGAAGCAGUGUGUGAUGGGAGUAUACAAUAACAGCUAAGGUUCUUUUUUUGGAAAAUGUGGUACAUUUUUUGAGUAUUUAAUGUUUUCAUAGUUGUUGCUGUCUUAAUAAUAUAUCUAAAACCAUUUUUUAAUACAUAAUUUCUGUUUUGUGUUUUAUUGCUAAUACAAAUUAUUUCCUGUGAAAAUCUUUGGUUUUAAUUGAACUUCAGUUUCAUCACUGUACUCCUAAUGGAAAUUAGAAGCAGGAUGUGAUUUCUUCUUGUCACAUAAGUUAAACUUUUAACUAAAGAAUGGUAGCGUAGAUAUUGGUAAUGGUCGUAUUUAAAUAGAUGACAUUUCUAGAUGUCUAUAUUUAUUGAUAAGAUAAAUAAAAAUCUUGCCUGUUUUGUUUUACUCAUUCUUAAGUGCCGUAUUAUUGUUGAUUGUUAGUUACACACUCUUACUGUACCUGUACUUUUAAGACAUUCUGUUCUAAACAUUACAGUAAAGUAGUGUACAAGGGCUUCAAUUAAACAAAUCGUAUGCUCCCAAAUAUUCAUUUGAAGUUUCUGUUACAGUAUAAAGUUAACUUAAUGUGGCAAUAAAGUAAACCAUUACGGUCUAGAAGCUAUCAUGUAUGUUUGUAUUUUCAUGAGAUAGGUUGUAGUGAUACCUCAUCAACUGAAACUAAUUUUAUUCUGAGUGACUGUUUAAUCUGAUGACCUUGUCUAACUUCACUUUGAUAGAUUAAAACUUCCAAAAAUAUAUGAAGUCUACUAUAAACUGAAGAUAAUGAUUUAAUUUUUAAAAAAAUGUUGUUUCUCUCAAUAUUUAUGUCUAAAUAAAGAUAAGGGUUUUUACAGAGCUAAACUAGGUGAUUUUAAUAUUCAUGAUCUCAACAAAAGGAGGGACUAAUGUAUCUUUAUUUUGCUGGUUUUCAGUAUGCUGUAUUAACAUUAAUAGUUUUGUCAGCAAACAACCUGUCCAUGAUAUUUUAGAAAAUGAAUAAUUUUAAAGUUUCAUCUGCACAUUAUUGUACAGUGACAUAUAAUAUGAUAUUUGGAUUAUAAGUUUUGAUUUUGUGUAUUUUAUUUUUUAGCUGAUCCCCUGUUUUUUGAGGCCAAACAGAUUUGUUGUGAGAUUUUAAAUAUGUACAGUUUUUCUGGUUAUUAUACAUAAAACAGUCUGGAAACUCUACCAAAGUUCAAUAAUUCCAAUUAAAACUGACCUUAGCACUCGAUAUAUUAGUGAGACAAACAUUGUGAAACGUGCGUAUUUAUGGUUAUUGUAGUUGAAUUUAUGUGUUGUCUCCUAUAACGUUUAAUUCGAUUUAUACGUGAAUCUAUUUCUUUCAUCAAUAAAGUAUAAUUGAAAAAUGACAA